CUGCCAGUAGUCAUACGCUCGUCUCAAAGAUUAAGCCAUGCAUGUGUAAGUAUAAAUAGUUAACUUUAAAACUGCGAAUGGCUCAUUAUAUCAGUUAUAGUUUAUUUGAUUCAAUUUAACUAUUUGGAUAACCGUAGUAAUUCUAGAGCUAAUACAUGAGAAAAGUCUUAACUUGUMYUUGUACAAGAAAAGAUGUAUUUAUUAGAAUGAAAACCAAGGAUAUAGAGYAAUCUAUAUGUAUUGUGAGUAAUAAUAACUUAUCAUAUCGCAUGCUUUUAGUAGCGAUAUAUCUUUCAAGUUUCUGCCCUAUCAGCUUUCGAUGGUAGUGUAUUGGACUACCAUGGCAGUAACGGGUAACGAAGAAUUUGGGUUCGAUUUCGGAGAGGGAGCCUGAGAGAUGGCUACCACAUCCAAGGAAGGCAGCAGGCGCGUAAAUUACCCAAUCCUAAUACAGGGAGGUAGUGACAAUAAAUAACAAUGCGGAACUUUUAGUUUUGCAAUUGGAUUGAGAACAAUGUACAAAACUUAUCGAUAAACAAUUGGAGGGCAAGUCUGGUGCCAGCAGCCGCGGUAAUUCCAGCUCCAAUAGCGUAUAUUAACGUUGUUGCAGUU
RNAcentral lists this ribosomal RNA (612 nucleotides) under Blastocystis sp. RNAcentral's name for it is "SSU rRNA". It matches the Rfam family "Eukaryotic small subunit ribosomal RNA", at positions 14 to 622 of the family's 1831-position model. The record is from RNAcentral. Lineage: Eukaryota; Bigyra; Opalinata; Blastocystidae.